GCUCUCGUCUGAUCUCAGGUCGAAGCGAGAUGUCGCGCACAGGGCGCAACUGAACACUUCCGCACGCUCGGCCGAGACACGCGCCGACCCGUUCCUCUUUGAGGCUCAUGCGAGCGAGCGCGGAGACGAACAGAGCUCGAGAUAGAGCAUCGCGUCGCCGUCCGUGGCUCGAUGAGAAGAAACGAGUCGCGAACACGUGGGCCAAGUCUUGUGCGGCCGGUCUGUACUUGGAGCCGCACGGGGACAGCGCUGCGCGAGGCGGCGCGCCCGUGCGAGCUCAAUGCGCAAGCGAGAGCCGUUGCGAUUGAUGUCAAACCGACCCUGAGACAGGCGUGGUCCCGGGAGGACCCGGGACCGCAAUGUGCGUUCAAGAUGUCGAUGUUCAAUGAGUCCUGCAAUUCACAUUAAAUCACGCAGCUGGCUGCGCUCUUCAUCGACACACGAGCCGAGUGAUCCACCGCUCAGAGUGAUAUUUUUGUUUUACCGCAUGCGUCGGGCAACUCGACUGCAUCGGCACUCACUCAGUGAGACACACACACAACUCUAUUAGACAACAACCACGUUCGGGCGAUCGCCUGGGGCGCACUGAGAGCUGGCGCCUCUUCAUUCGGUGGCCGCCUUCGUACUCGCCCGAACGAGCGAGCACGCCGGCGUACUAUCCACCUCGGGCAGCGAAGGCGAAGACGGCGUGAGAGCGCAUCCACUGGCUCGCAGCGAGCUGCGAGCCAGCAGACGGCCGUCUUCAGGCGAUUCUUUGAACCUCGCGUCGCGCCACAGAUCGGCGACGAGCGGGACGCUUGCCCUUCCGCUCGUCGGCGCAACGUUAGGCACCGCCGUUCGACCGACGCCGCCCUCCCGGCCCCCGCACAUAGCGGGGACGCUGAGAGAGCGAGCGGCGCCGACCGCCGGCAGUCUAGGUACCCGAACACACCAGUGGGACACGUAUGCACUAGCGCCUCACACGGCGUCCUUAGAGGUAAGCGCUCGCCCACCGAAGUGCGAGCGCCGGACGCGAGACGCCUCGGCCCGACGCGGAGCGGCGCACAGCGGCACCGACCGGCAGGCCUCCUCUCACUGCUAUUUGUUGCGCGCCGCUCGGGCACUAACAACACACCAGACGAAGCCGCCAGGGCAACGCCGGUGUUGGCUCGAUAAUGAUCCUUCC
RNAcentral lists this unclassified non-coding RNA (1165 nucleotides) under uncultured eukaryote. Its description in RNAcentral is "partial contains ITS1, 5.8S rRNA, and ITS2". The record is from RNAcentral.